UCCUGCUCACAUCUGGGCGCAGGUGUCAUCUGAUCAGUAUUCACACUGCCCAGAAGUUAGAGAAGAGGCAGGUGGUGCUUGCUCUCCUUGUUCAGAGCAUCACUUGGUGUGUCCCUGGUAGCCUGGUACCCAGAGUACCCGUCAUACGGGUCCUCAGAGCAUCCACUCCAUCAAGCCUUCACAUUUCCCUCUGCGACUUGACAGAGGCUUCGAGGUUCACACUUGCCAGUUUUAUCCCUCGUUUAACUAGCAAUUCCAAGACCACAGAAGGAGGGGAUUUUUACUGAAGUUUAGCAUCCCAAUAAAACAUCAGAAAGUGGCAUUAUAUCAUCAACUCUAAGCUAGAAUAUCAGGUCAAACAAUUUUUAUGUUUAAAGUUUUAGUGUAACAUUCAGAUAUUUCGAACCUACUGAAAAUAUCUACUUAACAAAACCUGCAUUGUUUAAAAAAG
This 451-nucleotide long non-coding RNA is filed under the name Mus musculus (house mouse). RNAcentral's name for it is "long non-coding RNA chr11:107690662-107691113". Lineage: Eukaryota; Metazoa; Chordata; Mammalia; Rodentia; Muridae. The record is from RNAcentral.